GACGAACGCUGGCGGCGUGCUUAACACAUGCAAGUCGAACGGAAAGGCCCUGCUUUUGUGGGGUGCUCGAGUGGCGAACGGGUGAGUAACACGUGAGUAACCUGCCCUUGACUUUGGGAUAACUUCAGGAAACUGGGGCUAAUACCGGAUAGGAGCUCCUGCUGCAUGGUGGGGGUUGGAAAGUUUCGGCGGUUGGGGAUGGACUCGCGGCUUAUCAGCUUGUUGGUGGGGUAGUGGCUUACCAAGGCUUUGACGGGUAGCCGGCCUGAGAGGGUGACCGGCCACAUUGGGACUGCGAUACGGCCCAGACUCCUACGGGAGGCAGCAGGGGGGAAUAUUGCACAAUGGGCGGAAGCCUGAUGCAGCAGCGCCGCGUGCGGGAUGACGGCCUUCGGGUUGUAAACCGCUUUCGCCUGUGACGAAGCGUGAGUGACGGUAAUGGGUAAAGAAGCACCGGCUAACUACGUG
RNAcentral lists this ribosomal RNA (468 nucleotides) under uncultured bacterium. Its description in RNAcentral is "partial 16S ribosomal RNA". It matches the Rfam family "Bacterial small subunit ribosomal RNA", at positions 28 to 507 of the family's 1533-position model. The record is from RNAcentral.